UCAAGAGUACGUGAAACCGUUCAGGGGUAAACCUGAGAAACCCAAAAGAUCGAAUGGGGAGAUUCAGCGUCAACGAAGUCGGCUUCCGUGUGGCUCGCGAUGCCCUGUGGCUGUUGUCUUGGCACGCCGUCUGCGGUAUGACCGGCGUCGUCGGCGUGCACUUCUCCCCUAGUAGGACGUCGCGACCCGCUGGGUGUCGCCCAAGGCAGCGAACGAUUGACUGUCGCGCUCCUCGCGACAGACGUUCUAAUGCCCGGCCGACUGCUCGGCGGUAUGUUUUUUAACAAGGUAUUGAGUCGCAGCGAAUGCGUUCGACUCGUCGACAGGCUCGCCUCGCUUGGAACGGACCUGGCGCCGUUACCGGGUGCUUGGUGUGGUUUGGUCGACGAUGAUCUCGAACCGGCUCUAACGCAUUACCUGUCUGCGACGCUUUUGCUUUGGGUACUUUCAGGACCCGUCUUGAAACACGGACCAAGGAGUCUAACAUGUGCGCGAGUCAUUGGGGAACAAGCCUAAAGGCGCAAUGAAAGUGAAGACGCGGUGGUCGAGGGAGGA
RNAcentral lists this ribosomal RNA (555 nucleotides) under Cheiloneurus elegans. Its description in RNAcentral is "eukaryotic LSU rRNA". It matches the Rfam family "Eukaryotic large subunit ribosomal RNA", at positions 389 to 740 of the family's 3401-position model. Lineage: Eukaryota; Metazoa; Arthropoda; Insecta; Hymenoptera; Encyrtidae. The record is from RNAcentral.